RNAcentral lists this ribosomal RNA (755 nucleotides) under uncultured marine haptophyte. RNAcentral's name for it is "bacterial SSU rRNA". It matches the Rfam family "Bacterial small subunit ribosomal RNA", at positions 545 to 1308 of the family's 1533-position model. The record is from RNAcentral. Lineage: Eukaryota; Haptophyta.
CCGGUAUCAUUGGGCGUAAAGCGUCUGUAGGUUGUUUAAUAAGUCUGUUGUUAAAGACUAGGGCUCAACCCUAGAAAAGCAAUGGAAACUACUAGACUUGAGUAUGGCAGGGGUAGAGGGAAUUUCUAGUGUAGCGGUGAAAUGCGUAGAUAUUAGAAAGAACACCAGCGGCGAAAGCGCUCUACUGGACCAUUACUGACACUCAGAGACGAAAGCUAGGGUAGCAAAAGGGAUUAGAUACCCCUGUAGUCCUAGCCGUAAACGAUGGAUACUAGAUGUUGUGUUUAAUAUGCAGUAUCGUAGCUACCGCGUUAAGUAUCCCGCCUGGGGAGUACGCUCGCAAGGGUGAAACUCAAAGGAAUUGACGGGGGCCCGCACAAGCGGUGGAGCAUGUGGUUUAAUUCGAUGCAACGCGAAGAACCUUACCAGGACUUGACAUACUACAAAUUUCUUUGAAAAAAGGAAGUGCCUUCGGGAAUGUAGAUACAGGUGGUGCAUGGCUGUCGUCAGCUCGUGUCGUGAGAUGUUGGGUUAAGUCCCGCAACGAGCGCAACCCUUAUUUUUAGUUACUAAUUAAUUAGGUUUUCUAGAAAGACUGCCGGUGACAAACCGGAGGAAGGUGAGGAUGACGUCAAGUCAGCAUGCCCCUUAUGUCCUGGGCUACACACGUGCUACAAUGGUUAAAACAAAGGGUCGCGAGCUCGUGAGAGUCAGCUAAUCCCAUAAAUUUAGCCUAAGUUCAGAUUGUAGGCUGC